CUCCAUAAUAAUCUGUGCUACUUGUAUUAAAACAAGAAAGAAUGAGUUAAGAAGGUUCAAGGAAAGUUAAUCGAGUUAGUAAGAAUAUCGUUAUAUUUACAUGGUUUCCUUAAGUAUCCCAAGGCGACACGGUUACCUAAAGGGUGUGGAAUCGCGCUAUGAGUAUGUAUAUGAAGUAAUGCGAGUGACCUUUUAAAGUAUUUGAGAUUAUUAGUAAUGAUAUAGAGGGUGGACAAAAGAUAUGAAUAUACUUUUGCGAUUGGAGUUUCGUCAAAGUUUUGUGAGUUCUCUAGUUAUGUUUAAGGUUAUUGUGAGUCUCUGGGCCCUUCGAGAUGUGUAUAUGGAUUUUUAUUGAUGUAUAUAAGUGUGUAUAUGUAUGCAUAAGAGGUUACAUAAGGUUGGAAGAGGAUUAGAAGUUAAACGAAAUGAAUCGGAACAACUUCAGUAAAAUUUCGGACCCGAUUUUAGUCUAUAUUGUAGGAGGCAUAUCUCCUUGAAUAUGAGGAGUUUUAAGGUGUUUCAAAAGCCUAAAAUGAAGUUCAUCGAGUCUAGUUUGUAAUGCAACAAACCGCUCGUCAAAAUGAUAUCGGGAUAAGGAGAUAUGGACGAUGCAAGUUGGGCUGGCAGGGCAGCAAGUUUGGACCCGACCCAAACACUCACAUUUCGGCCCAUGAGGCCCAUUAAACUCAAUAGAUAAGUCACCACUUUGCCCUAUAUCAUUUCACACGACCUAAAACAGAUCCAAAACCCUUAUUUUCUCUCCCAAACCCCCUUUCUAAUUGAGCCAUCAUAUAAGCUAAAUCCUAGACCCUUGACAUGAUAUUAGUUAAAGAGAAGUUGUAGCCUAAGUUUUUUUUUGUGUUGUUAAGCAAGCAGCUGGAAAGAGGAACAAGAUUCUUGAAGUUUCUGAUUGCUAAAGGUAAUUUCAACCUCCCACUCAUGUUAUCAAUUUGGAUUAAAGGUUUAAUAUGGUGUAUACGUGAAGGAAACGUUGAUAUACAAGCUAGAGAGAGAGAGAGAGCAUAAGCCAUGGCAUUCGGCCAUGGCUAGCAAAAUUGGAGCUCAAAUUUGUUGAUCCAAAAAUCAGAUUUUCUAGGUAUUUCAGCCCUUAGGAAGGUGAUAAUAACGUGGAGAAUUCAUUUGGAGCAACAAGAACAAGUAUUAGUUCAUUUCACAAAUUCUAGCUAAGUGGAAAAAGCCAACUUGUUAAGGUAAGAGUUGAUCAUUUUUCUAUGUGUUUGAUGAUGAAGUUGGACGUGUGGGGAAUAUGCAAAUGUAAAUUGUAUGUGUGAAAUUAUGUAUCUUGAUGUUGAAGCAUAGUUGUAACUUGGUAAGAUGAAUUGCACGAAUGUUGGAAUGUUGUUGAAAUGUUGUUGAAUGCCGUAGGGGCUGUUUUUAAUUGAAAUUUGAUGGGCUGAUUUGAAUUAAUAUUUUGGUUGUUGUAAUCAUAGAUUAUGUGAUGAGAAUGAAGGAAUUUAAUGGUUAGAGUUGGAGUUAAAAUUGUUGUGGGUUGUUGUAAGGAUUAUAGAGAUAAUAAUGUGAUUUACUUACAUAUGGAUAGAUGAUGUGGUGUCGUGUGGCUGCUGUUGUAUUUCCCUGAAAUUUGCUGAAAAGAUGGCAUGAAAUAAGUCAUAAGAAGUGUAUAUGGGCUGCUUGGUAUGUUGUAAGUGUUCGUUAGAAUUUCGGGCAUCGUUAUGUUAUAGUUUAGGGGCUGUUUUCGGCCCAAUUUGGAGAAAUUGUUGGAUCGUUGGAAAUAUUAUGUGAAUUGUUUAGAAUGUUCUUGAAUGUUGUUAGUAUGGGUUUGGGUUAGUAUUUGAAUGUAUAGGCGUUGAUGUUGGCUUGAAGGUAAGCCGUUGAAUUGAAUAUUUGGAAAGUUGUCGAAUGAUGAAAAAGAGAGUAUUAAUGUAAUAUUGUCUUUCGGAUUGGUUAUUGGAGUUGCUAGGUUGGUUAUUGUGGUUGUUGCUGUUGAUUUUGAGCGAGUUAAAUUCUCGGGAUGGCCUAUUUACAGGGGAAGUGCUGCCGAAUUUUCUGUAGAAUUUUUUGUUAGUUUGGAAUGAAUGGCUUAAGUGCCUAUGUUUAAUAUUGGAUAUUCGUUGGCAUAUUUGUAGACCUUGGGGAGCCCGAGGCGUAGAUUGGAAUUUACUUUAGAUUGGAUAUCUUGGAGUGCGUACGAGGUACCGACGACAGGUUUGCUGAUCCGUCCGUCUAGGAUAUCUUUUCUGCCAUUUGGAGCGCUCUUUUAUUCAGAGCCCAUCUUUUGGUACAGUCUGUCACUACUGUAUAUAUAUAUUCUCGUUCAUGGGUACGGCGGGGCCCUGUCCCGUUAUAUGAUUCCGUCGGUCUGUUUAGAGGUCUGUAGACAUGUUUGUGGGUUGGGGUCUUUCUGUACGGAUGCGUGUAUAUGUUGUGUUUGGGCGAUCCCAUUCGCCGCGGCGGCCAGUCCGCAUAUGUUUAAAUGUUGCUUUGUUGGCCCUGGGUGGUCAUUGUUGGUAUUA
Lycium barbarum (goji berry) is the source of this 2495-nucleotide long non-coding RNA. RefSeq lists it as uncharacterized. Lineage: Eukaryota; Viridiplantae; Streptophyta; Magnoliopsida; Solanales; Solanaceae. The transcript has 2 exons. The record is from RefSeq and is a predicted model, not a curated record.